This is a long non-coding RNA of Rhipicephalus microplus (southern cattle tick), 209 nucleotides long. NCBI's taxonomy places the organism in Eukaryota, Metazoa, Arthropoda, Arachnida, Ixodida, Ixodidae. The record is from RefSeq and is a predicted model, not a curated record.
CGAAAGACCAAAAGCGAGACCAAGGUUGCGACUAGGAGGAGUGUCAGAUUAUCCAGGCGAUAAGUGAGUCGCCCCUAGGAGCAAAACAAAGCUAAGCUGAUGGCAACGCCUUGAAGAUAUUACAGCGCUGAAGAUGUGGACCAUGUUCAUUUAUGAUCUCUGGUUCUUUCUGUAAAAUAACAUCGAAACUGAAAUCAUUAAAAGAACUA